This is a non-coding RNA of Gossypium hirsutum (cotton), 142 nucleotides long. NCBI's taxonomy places the organism in Eukaryota, Viridiplantae, Streptophyta, Magnoliopsida, Malvales, Malvaceae. The record is from Rfam.
UGUUAAAAAUUUUAUUAUUUGUACUAUUAAAAAUUAGUGUAGCAUAGAAUAACCGGACAGUGAUCGGUGGCGUGUUAUGCGUACAUCAUGCUAACAUGCAAGUAUUAAUUUUUAACAAUAGAAAUGGAUUAAAAUUUUAACA